UACAGAGGUCUCAAGCGUUGUUCGGAUUCAUUGGGCGUAAAGGGUGCGUAGGCGGCGCGGUAAGUCGGGUGUGAAAUCCCGCAGCUUAACUGCGGAACGGCAUGGGAUACUAUUCGGCUCGAGGAUUGGAGGGGGGACUGGAAUUCCCGGUGUAGCAGUGAAAUGCGUGGAUAUCGAGAAGAACACUUAGGGCGUAGGCAAGACUCUGGACAAAUGCUGACGCUCAUGCACGAAGGCUAGGGUAGCGAACGGA
Molecule: ribosomal RNA, 253 nt
Filed under: uncultured bacterium
Lineage: Bacteria
Description: partial 16S ribosomal RNA
Rfam family: Bacterial small subunit ribosomal RNA
Source: RNAcentral